GACGAACGCUGGCGGCGUGCUUAACACAUGCAAGUCGAACGGUGAACUCCGCUUGCGGGGGGAUCAGUGGCGAACGGGUGCGUAACACGUGGGCAACCUGCCCUCAGCUCUGGGAUAACUCCAAGAAAUCGGGGCUAAUACCGGAUAUGACCGCUGACCGCAUGGUCUGGUGGUGGAAAGAUUUAUCGGCUGGGGAUGGGCCCGCGGCCUAUCAGCUUGUUGGUGGGGUAGUGGCCUACCAAGGCGACGACGGGUAGCCGGCCUGAGAGGGUGACCGGCCACACUGGGACUGAGACACGGCCCAGACUCCUACGGGAGGCAGCAGUGGGGAAUAUUGCGAAAUGGGCGAAAGCCGGACGCAGCGACGCCGCGUGGGGGAUGACGGCCUUCGGGUGGUAAACCUCUUUCAGCAGGGACGAAGCGAAAGUGACGGUACCUGCAGAAGAAGCACCGGCCAACUACGG
This 464-nucleotide ribosomal RNA is filed under the name uncultured bacterium. Its description in RNAcentral is "partial 16S ribosomal RNA". It matches the Rfam family "Bacterial small subunit ribosomal RNA", at positions 28 to 506 of the family's 1533-position model. The record is from RNAcentral.